GACGAACGCUGGCGGCGUGCCUAAUACAUGCCAGUUGAGCGAUGAAGAUUGGUGCUUGCACCAAUUUGAAGAGCAGCGAACGGGUGAGUAACGCGUGGGGAAUCUGCCUUUGAGCGGGGGACAACAUUUGGAAACGAAUGCUAAUACCGCAUAACAACUUUAAACAUAAGUUUUAAGUUUGAAAGAUGCAAUUGCAUCACUCAAAGAUGAUCCCGCGUUGUAUUAGCUAGUUGGUGAGGUAAAGGCUCACCAAGGCGAUGAUACAUAGCCGACCUGAGAGGGUGAUCGGCCACAUUGGGACUGAGACACGGCCCAAACUCCUACGGGAGGCAGCAGUAGGGAAUCUUCGGCAAUGGACGAAAGUCUGACCGAGCAACGCCGCGUGAGGGAAGAAGGUUUUCGGAUCGUAAAACUCUGUUGGUAGAGAAGAACGUUGGUGAGAGUGGAAAGCUCAUCAAGUGACGGUAACUACCCAGAAAGGGACGGCUAACUACGUG
RNAcentral lists this ribosomal RNA (497 nucleotides) under uncultured bacterium. RNAcentral's name for it is "partial 16S ribosomal RNA". It matches the Rfam family "Bacterial small subunit ribosomal RNA", at positions 28 to 507 of the family's 1533-position model. The record is from RNAcentral.